RNAcentral lists this transfer RNA (71 nucleotides) under Medicago truncatula (barrel medic). It matches the Rfam family "tRNA". Rfam says of the family: Transfer RNA (tRNA) molecules are approximately 80 nucleotides in length. Their secondary structure includes four short double-helical elements and three loops (D, anti-codon, and T loops). Lineage: Eukaryota; Viridiplantae; Streptophyta; Magnoliopsida; Fabales; Fabaceae. The record is from Rfam by way of RNAcentral.
GCACAAGUGGUUUAAUGGUAGAAUAGUACCCUGCCACGGUACAGACUUGGGUUUGAUUCCUGGCUGCUGCA